UGGGGAAUAUUGGACAAUGGGGGAAACCCUGAUCCAGCGAUGCCGCGUGAGUGAUGAAGGCCUUCGGGUUGUAAAGCUCUUUUAUCCGGGAAGAUAAUGACGGUACCGGAAGAAUAAGCUCCGGCUAACUUCGUGCCAGCAGCCGCGGUAAUACGAAGGGAGCUAGCGUUGUUCGGAAUUACUGGGCGUAAAGGGCGUGUAGGUGGUUCGAUAAGCAAGAUGUGAAAUCCCUGGGCUUAACCUAGGAAUGGCAUUUUGGACUGUUGGACUCAGUGUGCGAGAGGGGAAAGUGGAAUGGCGAGUGGAGCAGUGAAAUGCGUUGAUAUUCGUUGGAACACCAGAGGCGAAGGCGACUUUCUGGCUCGACACAGACACUAAGGCGCGAAAGCGUGGGGAGCAA
This 400-nucleotide ribosomal RNA is filed under the name uncultured bacterium. Its description in RNAcentral is "bacterial SSU rRNA". It matches the Rfam family "Bacterial small subunit ribosomal RNA", at positions 355 to 771 of the family's 1533-position model. The record is from RNAcentral.